This 547-nucleotide long non-coding RNA is filed under the name Mus spicilegus (steppe mouse). RNAcentral's name for it is "lncRNA (ENSMSIG00000015369.1)". The record is from RNAcentral. Lineage: Eukaryota; Metazoa; Chordata; Mammalia; Rodentia; Muridae.
CAAACUCUCCCUUAAACUCAUUAGCAGAUUGCUCACAUAUGACUUGGCCCUUGGAGUUGACCUCUGGUCCAAUUACCCAGGGGUUAGUUCUUCCAUAGGCUUCUUUAUGAAUAACUGGCUGAGAAAUGUCCAUGUAGUGUCCAACUCCUACAAGAUGUUCUCAGAAACCUAUAAGGAUGACAGUUCACUCCAACCCCAUUCCUUGGAAGGGAAGUGAGUCUCUUCAUGACCAACUGUGGGCGUGAUGAUGUGUGAAGUUCUACGUCUAUGGAUCAGCAGGCACAAAGCAAGUGAAGAUCCAUAAUGGAUUUAGACCAACAUCAAAGGAUCAGUUCAUACAUGAACACACUGCAUCCUAUAGAGAAACCUAAAGCAAUCAAGGGCACAGAACAAUACCUUGAAGGAAGAGUUCAGAAUGCUGUUUUGCCGGGGCGAGUCUUAAGGUGGGAGGAAGGAGGCUUCAUUUCCCUCCUAAUUGUCGCUGCUGCUUUUGAUUUGCUUCCUGCUUCCCCCACCUUUUAAAAUGCUACAUCAUGAGUAUCUUCCU